CAGCCGCACCAGUUCAGUGCAGCACGGCAGCUGGAACUCGACUGGGAAUGAUGGCAGCACACGAACUGUUCACACGGAAGUUCCCCACUCCUGCUGCAAACGCAGCGCUCUUCUGAUGACGUCACAACACGCGCUUCAAGCUCUAUUCCAUUGCCAUGGCAACAUCUACCUCACAGUUCAGCUGGUUGCAAUCUGGGACCUACCAGAAAUAAAACUGCUUGUCAGUUUAUGCUACAAGGGGGUAAAAAAUUUCUCAUGGCAUCUAGAUUACCCAGUGGCAUUAUCCAGAAGCUGUUAACCUCAGGACUGCUACCUGGAUGGGAGGGCUGGCAGGCAAUGCUGCAUUCAAUUCAAGAAUACAAAGGCUGCAUUCUUGAAGACCUGGGACAACUGCUGCAUUUUGAGGUGGCAGAGUGGACAUGCACCUGUUCUAGAAAGCCUGAAGAGCUGGUGACCUGUUUGGCUAUCUGUGCCCUGCGUCACACAGCCACAGCCGUGAAUGAGAACCUGGAGGAGCACACACUUUUGGAUAUUAUCCCAUGAUCUCCAAUACUGGACAACACAAAGACACCUGAGAUAUCCAAAGAUACAUCUUUAUCCCACAUCCCACCACGGUGCGCAUUAGCACCUUCCUAGUGCUGAUUCCAGUCCAGGUCAGUGUAUUAACUUUUUAUGCCUCUGUAGGGAUGCGUAUGUGACUAGAGACAGGACUACGGGAAUCAGCUCAGUGCUGCAGACUAGUGAUGAGAUCGCUUCUCUGGGUGUGAAGACGAGUCUCUCAAGGACAUGAGCUGUAGGAAACGUAGGCCAGCGGGCAAUUCCCUGUGCCAGAACAGCCCUCCCAGUGCGCAUGGGCACACAUCAAUGUCUGGCUCAACCCUGGUGCUCAGCGACCUGGGCACGUGGCACAUUUUGAUAACACAGCCUUUUGAUAAUAAAUAAACUAGUAAUUUCAAA
Long non-coding RNA from Columba livia (rock pigeon), 957 nucleotides. RefSeq lists it as uncharacterized. Lineage: Eukaryota; Metazoa; Chordata; Aves; Columbiformes; Columbidae. The record is from RefSeq and is a predicted model, not a curated record. The transcript has 2 exons.